CAAUAGCGUAUAUUAAAGUUGUUGCGGUAAAAAAGCUCGUAGUUGGAUUUCUACCGAAGAUAGCCGGUCGGGUCUUCGAACUUGUAUCUGGUUUUGUCUUUGGUAUCCUCAUAGGGAACGUUUCUGCGCUUUAUUGCGUGGUGCGGUAUCUAUGACUUUUACUUUGAGGAAAUUAGAGUGUUCACGGCAGGCAAACGCCUUGAAUAUAUUAGCAUGGAAUAAUAACAUAGGAUCUUCGUCCUAUUUUGUUGGUUUCUAGGGCUAAGAUAAUGAUUAAUAGGGAUAAUUGGGGGCAUCUGUAUCAACGCGUCAGAGGUGGAAUUCUUGGAUUGCGUUGCGACAAACUACUGCGAAAGCAUUUGCCAAGGAUGUUUUCAUUGA
Molecule: ribosomal RNA, 381 nt
Filed under: uncultured eukaryote
Lineage: Eukaryota
Description: partial 18S ribosomal RNA
Rfam family: Eukaryotic small subunit ribosomal RNA
Source: RNAcentral